Molecule: ribosomal RNA, 467 nt
Filed under: uncultured bacterium
Lineage: Bacteria
Description: partial 16S ribosomal RNA
Rfam family: Bacterial small subunit ribosomal RNA
Source: RNAcentral
GAUGAACGCUGGCGGCGUGCUUAACACAUGCAAGUCGAACGGAAAGGCCUCUGCUUGCAGGGGUACUCGAGUGGCGAACGGGUGAGUAACACGUGGGUGAUCUGCCCUGCACUUCGGGAUAAGCCUGGGAAACUGGGUCUAAUACCGGAUAGGACAAUGGUUUGGAUGCUGUUGUGGAAAGUUUUUCGGUGUGGGAUGAGCUCGCGGCCUAUCAGCUUGUUGGUGGGGUAAUGGCCUACCAAGGCGUCGACGGGUAGCCGGCCUGAGAGGGUGUACGGCCACAUUGGGACUGAGAUACGGCCCAGACUCCGACGGGAGGCAGCAGUGGGGAAUAUUGCACAAUGGGCGCAAGCCUGAUGCAGCGACGCCGCGUGGGGGAUGACGGCCUUCGGGUUGUAAACUCCUUUCGCUAGGGACGAAGCGUUUUUGUGACGGUACCUGGAGAAGAAGCACCGGCUAACUACGUG